Molecule: ribosomal RNA, 134 nt
Filed under: Symbiodinium sp. Three0503dir
Lineage: Eukaryota; Dinophyceae; Suessiales; Symbiodiniaceae
Description: 5.8S ribosomal RNA
Rfam family: 5.8S ribosomal RNA
About the family: 5.8S ribosomal RNA (5.8S rRNA) is a component of the large subunit of the eukaryotic ribosome. It is transcribed by RNA polymerase I as part of the 45S precursor that also contains 18S and 28S rRNA. Functionally, it is thought that 5.8S rRNA may be involved in ribosome translocation.
Source: RNAcentral
UCAGCGAUGGAUAUCUUGGCUCGGGCACCUGUGAAGGGCGCAGCGAAACGCGAUAGUCUUUGUGAAUUGCAAAACUCCGUGAACCAAUCGCCUCCUGAACGUGCGUUGCACUCUUGGGAUUUCCUGAAAGUAUG